This 467-nucleotide ribosomal RNA is filed under the name uncultured organism. RNAcentral describes it as "bacterial SSU rRNA". It matches the Rfam family "Bacterial small subunit ribosomal RNA", at positions 29 to 507 of the family's 1533-position model. The record is from RNAcentral.
AACGAACGUUGGCGGCGUGGAUUAGGCAUGCAAGUCGAACGAAUCCCGGUAGCAAUACUGGGGGAAGUGGCGAAAGGGGCAGUAAGGCAUGGGUAACCUACCCUGGGGACUGGGAUAGCCUCUCUAACGGGAGGGUAAUACCGGGCGAUGUAGCGGGGUGGCAUCAUUUUGCUACGAAAUGAAUUUCGCCUCGGGAGGGGCCCAUGUGAUAUUAGCUAGUUGGUGAGGUAACGGCUCACCAAGGCCAAGAUGUCUAGCGGGUGUGAGAGCACGACCCGCGCCACUGGCACUGUGACACUGGCCAGACUCCUACGGGAGGCUGCAGUCGAGGAUCUUCGGCAAUGGGCGAAAGCCUGACCGAGCGACGCCGCGUGUGCGAUGAAGGCCUUCGGGUUGUAAAGCACUGUCGAGGGGGAUAAAGCCGUAAGGUUGAUAGAUCCCUGGAGGAAGCACGGGCUAAGUUCGUG